GCCACAUCUACUUCACGCUAGUGACCGAAGGGGGCGGCGAGAUCGACUUCCGCUGCCCCCUGGAAGAUCCCGGCUGGAACGCCCAGAUCACCCUAGGCCUGGUCAAGUUCAAAAACCAGCAGGCCAUCCAGACAGUGCGGGCCCGGCAGAGCCUCGGGACCGGGACCCUCGUGUCCUAAACCACCGGGCGCACCAUCUUUCCUUCAUGCUACCCACCACCUCCGUGCUGAGGUCAAGGUGUCUCAUUGCAACCUCUGCCUCCUGGGCUCAAGCAAAUCUCCUACUUCAGGCCUCCAGAGUAGCUGGGAUUACAGCUUCGUUGUUCCCUCUGGCUUGUGGGGGCAUUGCUGUGCUCCAUGUGGCAAGGUGGAAGGCAUGGACGUGUGGAGGAGGCGCUGGAGCUGAAGGAAUGGACGGGCCCUGGGAGGAGGGCAGAAGGCUACGCAGGGCUGAGGAUGAAGAUUCAGCCCCUGGAUGGUCCCAGACUCUCAGGACAUGCCCAGCUCAGGGGCUUCAAGCCACAGGCCUGGCCUCAUAUGGCAUGAGGGGGAGCUGGCAUCAGAGCCCCCUCCCUGCUGUGGUCCUGCCCUCUGUCCUGCAGACUGCUCUUAGCCCCCUGGCUUUGUGCCAGGCCUGGAGG
This 640-nucleotide small RNA is filed under the name Pongo abelii (Sumatran orangutan). RNAcentral's name for it is "processed transcript". The record is from RNAcentral. Lineage: Eukaryota; Metazoa; Chordata; Mammalia; Primates; Hominidae.